UCGGCUGCUUUGUUGAGCC
RNAcentral lists this non-coding RNA (19 nucleotides) under Arabidopsis thaliana (thale cress). Lineage: Eukaryota; Viridiplantae; Streptophyta; Magnoliopsida; Brassicales; Brassicaceae. The record is from RNAcentral.